This 302-nucleotide unclassified non-coding RNA is filed under the name uncultured Dothideomycetes. Its description in RNAcentral is "sequence contains ITS1". The stretch from base 1 to 105 matches the Rfam family "5.8S ribosomal RNA", at positions 50 to 154 of the family's 154-position model. Lineage: Eukaryota; Fungi; Ascomycota; Dothideomycetes. The record is from RNAcentral.
GAAAUGCGAUAAGUAGUGUGAAUUGCAGAAUUCAGUGAAUCAUCGAAUCUUUGAACGCACAUUGCGCCCCUUGGUAUUCCAUGGGGCAUGCCUGUUCGAGCGUCAUCUACACCCUCAAGCUCUGCUUGGUGAUGGGCGUCUGUCCCGCCUCCGCGCGUCGACUCGCCCCAAAGUCAUUGGCAGCGGUCCCGACCGCCUCUCGCGCAGCACAUUUGCGCUUCUCGAGGCGUCGGGGUCCGCGUCCAUCAAGUUACCCCCCAAUUUUUGACCUCGGAUCAGGUAGGGAUACCCGCUGAACUUAA